AAUUAAUGAACUUGUAAAGUAUAUGUUUUGAAAACAUAAAAAAGAGAAUUUAUCCUCUAUUAAUUU
This 66-nucleotide transfer RNA is filed under the name Cucujoidea sp. 3 KM-2017. Its description in RNAcentral is "tRNA-Ser". The record is from RNAcentral. Lineage: Eukaryota; Metazoa; Arthropoda; Insecta; Coleoptera.